CCUUCCGGUGAGCUGAGGCUUAAACGGAUGCGGUAAAGCGUGCUAAGGUAGCUAAAUUACGGCCUAAUAAUUGUAGGUCCUGUGAAUGGUUUGACGAGUUUUUAACUGUCUCUAGUUUUUUUAGUGAACUUGAAUUGUAUGUGCAAAUGCAUACAUAGGGUAGAAAGACGAGAAGACCCCGUGAAGUUAGAAAUUUAGUAUAUCUUCUAGGCAUGAGGGUGUCUUAUGGUGUAUGCAGUUUUAGCUGGGGCAGCCAAAGAGCAAGGUUAGACUCUUUUAUUAUAUUUUCUGAUGAGAUACGAUCCAUAGAUUAAAUUGUAUGAAUAGCAGAAUAAGUUACUCCGGGGAUAACAGCGUAAUCUAUCUUGAUAGUCCUUAUAGAUGGGUAGGUUUGCGACCUCGAUGUUGGCUCUGGGUAUCCUAAGGCUUGUAGGCGGUCUUAAGGGUAGGUUCGUUCGCCCAUUAAAACCCAACGUGAUCUGU
This 483-nucleotide ribosomal RNA is filed under the name Cryptopecten nux. Its description in RNAcentral is "partial 16S ribosomal RNA". It matches the Rfam family "Bacterial large subunit ribosomal RNA", at positions 1858 to 2608 of the family's 2925-position model. Lineage: Eukaryota; Metazoa; Mollusca; Bivalvia; Pectinida; Pectinidae. The record is from RNAcentral.